CCUGAGAAACGGCUACCACAUCCAAGGAAGGCAGCAGGCGCGCAAAUUACCCACUCCCGGCACGGGGAGGUAGUGACGAAAAAUAACGAUACGGGACUCAUCCGAGGCCCCGUAAUCGGAAUGAGCACAACUUAAAUACUUUAACGAGUAUCCAUUGGAGGGCAAGUCUGGUGCCAGCAGCCGCGGUAAUUCCAGCUCCAAUAGCGUAUAUUAAAGUUGUUGCGGUUAAAAAGCUCGUAGUUGGACUUGUGUCCCACGCCGUCGGUUCGUCGCCCGUCGACGUAACCGCACGGUUAUGUGAGUGGGACGUCCAGCCGGUAUGUGAGUGGGACGUCCAGCCGGUGGGUCGNCAGGUCGUGAGCUAUGCUGGCCGCGCCCCUUGGCGGUUCCAUAUCAUGGCCGCGUCGUGGNGUGUGUCGGGAGGUGUUUGUGUCGNNCGUUCGCGUUCGUCGAAGNAUCGCCUGGCCCGNCAAUAAAACGGCGCUGUGUUGUGGGGACCGUCUCUCACUCAGGGUGUCGCUGUGUCGGCGCACACGGUGCCGGACCCCAUGUUACUCCGUCUCGGUGCUCUUAAUCGAGUGUCUUGACGGGCCGGCUCGUUUACUUUGAACAAAUUAGAGUGCUUAAAGCAGGCCAAUUGCUGCCUGAAUAUUGUGUGCAUGGAAUAAUGGAAUAGGAUCUCGGUUCUAUUUUGUUGGUUUUCUGAACCAGAGAUAAUGAUUAAUAGAGACUGACGGGGGCAUUCGUAUUGCGACGUUAGAGGUGAAAUUCUUGGACCGUCGCAAGACGAACAUAAGCGAAAGCAUUUGCCAAGAAAGCUUUCUUUAAUCAAGAACGAAAGUUAGAGGUUCGAAGGCGAUCAGAUACCGCCCUAGUUCUAACCAUAAACGAUGCCAACUAGCGAUCCGCCGGUGUUCCUCCGAUGACCCGGCGGGCAGCUUCCGGGAAACCAAAGUGUUUGGGUUNNNNNNNNNNNNNGGUUGCAAAGCUGAAACUUAAAGGAAUUGACGGAAGGGCACCACCAGGAGUGGAGCCUGCGGCUUAAUUUGACUCAACACGGGAAACCUCACCAGGCCCGGACACUGGAAGGAUUGACAGAUUGAUAGCUCUUUCUUGAUUCAGUGGAUGGUGGUGCAUGGCCGUUCUUAGUUGGUGGAGCGAUUUGUCUGGUUAAUUCCGAUAACGAACGAGACUC
This 1195-nucleotide ribosomal RNA is filed under the name Megarcys signata. RNAcentral describes it as "bacterial SSU rRNA". It matches the Rfam family "Eukaryotic small subunit ribosomal RNA", at positions 395 to 1343 of the family's 1831-position model. Lineage: Eukaryota; Metazoa; Arthropoda; Insecta; Plecoptera; Perlodidae. The record is from RNAcentral.